Molecule: non-coding RNA, 144 nt
Organism: Fusarium oxysporum
Lineage: Eukaryota; Fungi; Ascomycota; Sordariomycetes; Hypocreales; Nectriaceae
Source: Rfam
UCAUGCAUGAGCCGGUGCCCAUUCUUCUCCCAUCAGCAUGGUCAGUUCAAACUGGUCGUGUUGAUGAUAGGGGGAUGUGGCUGAGAUUAUACGGCAAAACUUGAUCUGGAUAAUACCAGCGAAAGGAUCAUGUCAUCUCCCCUA